RNAcentral lists this long non-coding RNA (5632 nucleotides) under Manihot esculenta (cassava). Its description in RNAcentral is "long non-coding RNA (MESC_LNC004349)". Lineage: Eukaryota; Viridiplantae; Streptophyta; Magnoliopsida; Malpighiales; Euphorbiaceae. The record is from RNAcentral.
CAAACAAAUCAAAAGCAAUUAGCCCAAGCCAGUAUUAGCUGGUACAGAUGUUACAUUUUGUUGGCUUUAGUCCUAUUAGCAUUAAAUUAUUCCUUAAUGCAGUAUUUUACUAAUAUUCUACUUCAAAAAGACUUUAGAUUUAGGAAGAUUGCACCCUCAGGACAUUCCCACAUUGACUAAGAACCAAGAACCAGAACCAGCUGAAGGAUAUAAGAAAGCUUUCACUCCCGUACCUCUCCUUCCUUCACUGCCUUCACCAUCCUAUUUCUCCUCCUUUGUUCUCUCCUAUUUCCUCUCUUUUAAUCAGUAUCCUACUCUCCUUAUCUGGUGCCAAUUUUUAUUUCUAGUAAUUAAGAUGUAUUACCUUCUCUAUGGCUUUCCCUCUACAUUUUCCCACCAUGGAAACAAAAUUUUGUUGCACAAGUUGCAAGAAAUGGCACAUAGUCAUCAAAGGUGCAAGUCAGUCAGAAAGAUUUUGAUUCCUGUUACAUUCUUAAGAUGCCUUAACUUAUUCAAGCAAACAGCGCAGUUCUUUUGUCAGAAAGUCAAUCUGGAAAGACAUGAUUUGGUAAAGCAUCUAAGGUUUCCUUGGUUCCUUUUUAUCACAUCUUGUUCAGAGAGGUGAAACAAGCAGCUUGUCAUUUAUUUUCCGUUUGUUGUAUCUAGGCAAAUUUUCUCAUUCUAGAUGCCUCAGAGCAAUCUCAAACACAUAGAUCUCUUAUAUCAACUUUUCUUGUACACUAUUGCCAUACCUAAGCACUUUUCUACUCCAUCCACCUUAAUUCAUGGUACCUCAUAAAUUCGUUCAAUUAAGAUAGCAAUCUUCGUUGUUCUCAGAGGGUGUCUUCCUGCAGCUUGUUAGGAGUGCAACAAGCCAUCUAGAAGUGUUGACUUAUUUGUUAUGAUUUGAUUUGAUUACAGAUUCUAGAUAUAAAUUAGAAUCCUUAAUUAUCUCUAUAAUUAUUCUUUAAUUAUUUGCUUCCUAUUUAGUUGUAAUUCUUUGUAUAUAAGUAGUCAUAUAAAUUAUUUGUAAAGAUCAAGAGUAAAACACAAGAACACUCUAAAAUUCUCUAAAUUUCUUCAUGGUAUCAUAACUUUUUCCUGAUUUUAGGGUUUACAUUCAAUUUUUCCUCUUUAGAGUUUCAAAAUCCUUGUUGAAUCCCACAUCGGUUGUGGAAAGAGGUAAUGUGCCCCUUGUAUGGGCCAUAGGCACUCCUCCCCCUUGAGCUAGCUUUUGGGGUGAGUUAGGCCUGGCCCAAAUUUAACAAUCCUAAAUCUACCUUUUUGGAACUACCCUAUCUAGGACCUUUUCACAUCUCAUCGCCGACACCAGGAGGAUCGCCCGACCAUUCGCCGGCCAAACCACCUAGCUCCAAUGCUGGAAAGUCACGCAUGUGAGCUCAUACACCCUCCCUUCCCGGCGCGUGAGACACCGUUCGACACUACUUCACCGCUUCGAUCACUCCGACGCCAAUUCUGACCCUCUUUCCGGCCUUCCCGUGCCGCUGCCUGGUCUUUUGAUAAUUUGGUUGGGCUCUCUUGUGUGUACAACCUUGAGCACCUCCUAUUCUUUUACGGUUCAUUUGUUUUACCACAAUAGAAGGUAAAAAGGUCUCAAUUCCUAACUUUGAUAAUUCUUCCUUGGAAAUUAGUCCCGUAAAACUUGAUAGAACCAAUUUUCUUGCUUGAUUAAGGUCUUGUAUGUUGUUUAUCAAAGUUAGAGGACUGCAGGGCUAUGUCACUGGUAAUAAGAAGCAACCGGAUGAGAAUGAUCCAGAUUUCCCUCAAUGAGACUCGGAUAAUUGUCUGGUUAUGACAUAGUUACUUAACUUUAUGCAACCUCAUAUCUCUAAGUCCUAUUUGUUAAUUGAUACUGCUGCAAGGAUAUGGAAAGUUUUGUCCUUAAUGUAUUCCAAGAUUGGAAAUGAUGCCUAAAUUUAUGAUAUUCGAAAUAAGAUCCAUGGUACUAAGCAAGGAGAAAUAAUUAUCUCCCAAUUUUAUUCUGAGUUAUGUGGCUUAUGGCAGGAACUAUCAGGACUUUCAGGCAGACUGUACUGAACAUGUAGUUAAAUUUCGAAAAAUGAUUGAAAAAGAACGGAUCCAUGAUUUUUUUAUAGGAUUGAAUAACGAAUAUGAUCCAAUUCGGGUGGGUCCAAGUGUUGGGGAAAAAUCCUUUUCCUUCUCUAGAAGAGGCUCAUGCUAUGCUCUAUAUUGUACCAGUUGAAAAAGCUGGAUUGACCACUAGUUUGAGCACACCGCAGCCUCCUAAUUUUGAGAAAGAUCACCUGCAUUGUGACUAUUGUGAGAGAUCGAGGCAUACCAAGGAGACUUGCUAGAAGUUUCAUGAUCGUCCCACUAGAGGUCGGGGGGAACAACGAGAUACCUCUAGAACUCAAGCUAAUUUAGCAGAAACUGUAGAAGAGCCCUUUAAAGAGACAACAGCUGCCGAGUUUCUUUCCCCUAAUGAAAUUAAGAGUCUCAAGUGCUUCAAGUGCCUCCUGUCUCAUAUUGACACCUAUUCCACCUCUGAUAUCACAUCUAAUUUUGUAAAGUCAAGUAAUGCUUCUUUUCUUGAUAUUGUUCCAUGAUUAUUGAUUCUGGUGCGAAUAGACAUAUGAUAGACUCUUCUAAAGACUUUCUAAAUUAUUUUCCUUCUCUAACCACAGACAGUGUCAAAAUUGCUGAUGACUCUUUUACUCCCAUAUCCAGAACAGGUUCUGCUAUUUGUGCAUCCAAUAUUAAAUUAUCAUUUGUUCUUCAUGUCUUCCAUUUUCCUGUCAACUUUUUAUCUGUCAGUGCUAUCACCAAUGCUCUUAACUAUAAAAUUGAGUUCUUUCCUGAUCACUGUAUUAUUUAAGAUCUUCUCACAGGAAGAGAAUUGACAAUGGUAGACUGCAUGAUGGCUUAUACAUGUUGAAAAGUGAUUCAGGUUUUCCGAUAUCUCAAAUCUGUUUUGGAGAAAAUAAAGAUGUCAAUCAGGAAAUAUUAUAGCGGCACAGGCGAUUAGGGCAUCCAUAAUUUUUUGUCUUAGAAAAACUUUAACCUAGUUUGUUUGCUAGAACUCAGUUUGGUUUUUUAUUUUGUGAUGCUUGUGAGUAUAUUAAGCACACUAUAAACUUUUAUCCUUUGAAUUAUAAUAAAAGUCAAAUUCCUUUUUGAUUAUUCAUUCUGAUCUUUGGAGGCCUAUUCAAACCGUCUCCUUAUCUAAUAAUCGAUGGUUUGUCACUUGUUACCCUUAUUGAUUGUUGCAGUCGAAUGACUUGGAUGUACUCAGUUUGAUACAAAGGUAAAAAUUUUGAGAACUGACGGUGAAAGAAAAUAUAUGAAUACUAGAUUUUUUGCUUAUUUGGAGACCAAUUGGAUAAUAUACUAAACUAGUUGUCCUUAUACUAAUGCACAAAAUGGCAUUGUUGAAAGAAAAAACAUGCAUCAACCGGAAGUAGCUCGAUCUCUUAUGUUCAUCAUGAAUCUACGCAAAGCAUAUUGGGGAGAUAUAGCCUUAUCAAUAGAAUGCCCCUCAAAGCCCUUAAUUUUAUGAGUUCAUUGGAGGUUAUAUAAGGAAGGAAUUUAUACAUUGUUCCACCAAAAGUAUCUGGAUGUGUUUGCUUUAUCUAUACUAGGAACGCGAGAAAGUUGGACCCCAAGGCCCAAGGCCCUUAAAUGUAUGUUUGAUGGGUAUUCUCCAAGGAUAUAGGUGUUAUUAUCCCCCAUCUAGGAAAUACUUGGUCAGUAUGGAUGUACCACCCACUCACCUCUUCAAAGGGAGAAUAGUGAGCAAAAAAAGGUGACUCCAAAUUCUGUGAUUCUGAAUGAUAUGCCUCAGCGAGAGAGUUCUAGUAGACAAGGAGAGAUGUCCAAUCAGAGGAGAGAAUUGGACAUUUGGACAAGUCAUAUUUGAGAAGGUAUUCGAAGAGAGAUAAGACAGAAGAAGCCAUUAUAUAGUCUACUUAGAGUCAAGAAUCUUCUCCGAUGUGUUACCUAUAACUCUUGAAUACUCUAAUGAUUUAGAUAAAUCCUUUGCACAAAGAAAAUGUGUCAGAUUUUGUACUAAACACCCUAUUUCUAACUUUGUUUCUUAUGAAUCCUUGUCUCCCUCCUAUAGAGCCUUUGUCUUAUCUAUUUUUUCUGUCUAUUUCACAGGAUUGGAAAGAAGCUCUUGGAGAUCCUAAAUUGAAGGAAGUAAUGAUUGAAUAGAUGGAAACAUUGACCAAAAAUAAGACCUGGGAGCUUGUCACUCUCCCACCUGGGAAAAAACUUGUUGUUUGUAAGUGGAUAUUCACAGUAAAACGUAAAGCUGUUGGCACAAUUGAAUGGUUUAAGGCUAGACUGGUUGCUAAAGGAUUCACCUAAACCUAUAAAGCGGAUUAUCAAGAAAACAGUUACAAAAAUGAACUCAAUCAGAGUCCUGUUAUCUUGUGCAGCCAACUUGGACUGGGACCUACAGUAGUUUGAUGCGAAGACUGCUUUCAUCCAUGGAGAUUUAGAGGAAAAAGUGUUCAUGGAGAUCUCUUCUGGAUUCGUUGAUGAGAAGAUAUAAGGAAAUGUGUGCAGGUUAAAAAAAGCUUUGUAUGGGCUAAAACAAUCUCCCAGAGCUUAGUUUCACAGGUUUAGCAGAAGUAUGAUAUCCUUUGGUUACCAACAGAGUAAUGCUGAUCAACUUUGUUUAUUAAACAUCAUAAGGGUAAGAUCACCCUUCUAAUUACAUAUGUUGAUGAUAUAGCGGUGACAGGUAAUGACAAAUAGGAAAUGACUCAACUAAAAAGGUUGUUGGCUCAAGAAUUUAAAAUCAAAAAUCUAGAAAAACUGUAAUAUUUCCUAGGUAUUGAGGUGGCUAGAUCAGAAAAAGGAAUUUUCAUCUCCCAAAGAAAGUACAUUCUGAAUCUUUUGAAAGAAACUGGUAUGUUGGAGUCUAAACCAGUAGAAUCUCCCAUUGAAAGUAAUCACAAGCUGGAAGCAGGAAUUGGUGAGUCCGUGGAUAUUGGAAGAUACCAGAGAUUGAUAGAAAAGUUGAUUUAUCUCUCACACACUCGACCAGAUAUAACCUGUACUGUUAGCUCAGUCAGCCAAUUCAUACAUAAUCCUCGCGAGACUCAUAUGCAGACUGUACUUCGCACCUUGAGAUGUCUAAAAUCUAUGCCAAGGAAAGAGCUUCUUUACUCGAAACAUAGUCACCUCCAAGUUGAAGCUUUUAUAGAUGCAGAUUGGGGAGGAUCUCUCGAUGAGAGGAGAUCCAUAUUUGGCUACUGCACAGUUGUGGGAGGAAAUCUUGUCACUUGGAGGAGUAAAAAACUUACGAAUGUGUUUACUAAAGGGCUCAAUAAUAAAAUUUACCAUAAUUUGAUUUGCAAAUUGGGCAUGUGCGCCAUCUUUGCACCAACCUGAAGGGGAGUGUUGACUUAUUUGCUGAUUCUAAGGAUAUGAUUUGAUUUGAUUUGAUUAGGAUAUUUAAUUAUCUCUGUAAUUAUUACUUAAUUAUUUGCUUCCUGUUUAGAUAUAAUUUUUUUGUGUAUAAAUAGUCAUGUAAACCAAUUGUAAAGAUCAAGAGUGAAAUAUAAGAAUACUCUAAAUUUCUCCAAAAUUCUUCAAAUCAACUAAAUAAAAUAGAGAAGAGACUGUGAAAGUGAUCAAGAAC